This 374-nucleotide long non-coding RNA is filed under the name Vitis vinifera (wine grape). Its description in RNAcentral is "long non-coding RNA (VVIN_LNC000697)". Lineage: Eukaryota; Viridiplantae; Streptophyta; Magnoliopsida; Vitales; Vitaceae. The record is from RNAcentral.
GCGCGUUUCUGCUGUCUAAUUAAACACAUCACUUAGUAUCUACACCGUUCAUUUCUUCCACGUCUUCGAUCCAUGUGCCUCCAGAUCUAACGGUCCGCACACCCUUAGAAAAAACAAAUCUGAUUCGGUCUCUAACCCUCGAACCGGAGUCGAACCCUACCAAUUCCACUAGCGGUUAAGCACCGACCUAGAGAGAGACAAUUAAGAGAGAGAGAGAGAGAGAGAGAGAGAGAGAGAGAGAGAGAGAGAGAGAGAGAAUUCUCUCGAGCAAGAACAGGAGAGAAAGCAGACAGAAAGUAAUAGAACAGAGAGGGAGAAAGGAGAGAGUGAAGCUAUUCCUUCAUCCGAAUCUCUACAGUUUCUAUAUUUGUUUA